Molecule: unclassified non-coding RNA, 225 nt
Filed under: Hevea brasiliensis (rubber tree)
Lineage: Eukaryota; Viridiplantae; Streptophyta; Magnoliopsida; Malpighiales; Euphorbiaceae
Source: RNAcentral
AGACAAUGCUCAAAGGUGGUUAUUUUUCUUUCAUUUUGGUUAAUGCCUAAAUAAUUAUUUUCUCGGUGGUUAUUAUUCUUUCAUUUUAUUUAAUGUUUUAACAAUUAUCAGUACAAGGUGGUUUUGUGUUGUACUUCCAAUGGAAAUUGCAAGGUUGAAUCUGUUAUCUUUCCCCUGUUCUAAUAUUAAUGGAAAGUAGACUUUUUUUUUUUUAAAUUCCUUCUG